GGGGGAUUCAAUGAGUCUGUUUGAUGUAAAGCUGUCCUUACAUAGUGACAGCUUUAGCAAAUAUGAAAAAAAGUUACUUUUAUAAGAGUUGCAGACUGCACCUUUAAUGGAUGUGACCUGGACAGGGUUAGCAAGGGCACUUUUCACCACUACAUGGACAGGAGACAUGGGAGGAGAAUAAUUAGGAUGGAUUCAAAGUUCAUCCUGAGCAACCUGAUAGAGGGUUUAGGUUGGCCGCCUGUGAUUGGAUAUCCGGAGGCUGUUGGAUCACUUUUCUUCUAACCGGGGGACUCACAGUCAGGACAGGAGAUCCCCUUCCAUCCAAGGAUUAGUUUGGAUAUUUAGGUCUCACUGGAGCUUCAAUGAAGACUGUCAUCCUUCUCAAUUUCUUAAGGAAUGAGAGUCAAAAGAAGCGACACCAGCCGUACCUUUACGCCCAGGCCUGCACUGACUUUACGAUGGACUGGCCCUCCUGCAGGCCACCUCGGCCUGUGUUUUCAAUGUAUGGACCUUCCAACUCUCAACCAGGUUGUGGUGGUACCUACACCUGGGAGGAAGAAGGCCUUCUGAUGGAUCAACCCAUCACGUCUCCAAGCAUGAGCCAACCUCCUGAAAGCAGAUGGUCUCCAAACCAGCUCAGCUUCAGUUCUACUCAUGACAUUGGUGGUGGACACACGUACAUCUACAGCCCUAUCUCUGAAAUAUCUGGAUUUGUGACUGACUGCUUCCCUGCUUGGAUGUCAGAGAUCGAGGUUCCAGCAGAGAGAGGAACAUCUAUACCUGCAUGGAAAGUUACAGAAGAUCCUCCAACUCAGAGAACGCUCGACUGGUGAACACUGGCUGCGGGAAUAUUGUGUAUAAUGAUCAUG
Molecule: long non-coding RNA, 869 nt
Filed under: Gouania willdenowi (blunt-snouted clingfish)
Lineage: Eukaryota; Metazoa; Chordata; Actinopteri; Blenniiformes; Gobiesocidae
Description: lncRNA (ENSGWIG00000023312.1)
Source: RNAcentral